GCCUGGGUGGCUCACUCGGUUAAGUGCCUGACUUUGGCUCAGGUCAUGAUCUCACGGUUUGUGGGUUUGAGCCCCACAUCGGGCU
This 85-nucleotide transfer RNA is filed under the name Felis catus (domestic cat). It matches the Rfam family "tRNA". From Rfam's summary of the family: Transfer RNA (tRNA) molecules are approximately 80 nucleotides in length. Their secondary structure includes four short double-helical elements and three loops (D, anti-codon, and T loops). The record is from Rfam by way of RNAcentral. Lineage: Eukaryota; Metazoa; Chordata; Mammalia; Carnivora; Felidae.